UUCUCCAUGGGCGUGUUGCCAAUAGUGCGCUGAAAGUAGAUGGACUCGAUCUUGUGGGAGCUGAUCAUCCGCAGCAGUGGCAGCAUGAGCAGGAGUCGUCCGAAUCUGGCAAUCUGGGCCGUGAACUGCGUCUUCCAUACUUACGUGCGCCUGAUCCUGGAGAUUCUCAAUCUGCGCUGGAUCCUUCAGACCACGUGUCUCUGGCCGAAACAAAACAAUUGCCUUGAGGCAGGCAAAUUCAGCAGGAUCAACUAGCACCGCUUUGUAUUUGCAGAAGAUCUCGUGAAGGGUUCGCACAUCCGCCGCCAGCUGCCAAAAAUGUAGUGUCGCCAUUGGCGUUGUUCUCCAGAUUGUUACAGUGCUCCGCCACCGAGAAGAGGGCACAGCCCGUGGGAUCCAAGGGGAUGCACCAUUGGAUGGCAUUCAGCAGGAACAGCUCGGACCAGGACUCCUCCAGCAAAAUCACCUGAUUAGGAAAGCGUGUUUUAUGAAUAUUCCUAAUAUCCGAACUAACAACAUUUAAAAUUAAUUUUUCCUUCUGCAACAUACUAUAUGCCGAAUGUAAAUAUAACUCAACACCAAACCUCUUAAAAUGCCCACCUGAUCCCGAAAGGAAAGUCGCGCAAAGCUGGGCAGGUUCUUGGCCCACUUGACGGCCAUGAAGAGAAGCCGGGCACUCGUCUCAUAAACGGUUUCGUGCUGAUGGGCAUACAAAUUGGGUGACAUGAACUGCG
This is a long non-coding RNA of Drosophila gunungcola (fruit fly), 734 nucleotides long. RefSeq lists it as uncharacterized. Lineage: Eukaryota; Metazoa; Arthropoda; Insecta; Diptera; Drosophilidae. The transcript has 4 exons. The record is from RefSeq and is a predicted model, not a curated record.